GGGGGGGGGGGGGGGGGGGGCGGGGGGGUGGGGGGCGGGCGGGCGGGGGGGGGGGGUGGGCCGGUGGCGGUGGCGGCGGGCGGGUGGGUAACAGGGGGGUAACCUACCUCUACGGCGGGGAUAACUCCGGGAAACCGGGGCUAAUGCCGGCUAACAUUUAGACCCGCGGGGUUCUACAGUGAAAGAUGGUUUUGCUCUCACUUAUCGCUGGCCCCGCGCCGUAUCAGCUAGUUGGUAAGGUAACGGCUUACCAAGGCCACGAUCCGUAGCCGACCUGAGAGGGUGAUCGGCCACACUGGAUCUGAGACACGGUCCAGACUACUACGGGAGGCAGCAGUAGGGAAUCUUCCGCAAUGGGCGAAAGCCUGACGGAGCAACGCCGCGUGAGUGAUGAAGGUCUUCGGAUCGUAAAACUCUGUUAUUAGGGAAGAACAAAUGUGUAAGUAACUGUGCACGUCUUGACGGUACCUAAUCAGAAAGCCACGGCUAACUACGUG
Molecule: ribosomal RNA, 497 nt
Filed under: uncultured bacterium
Lineage: Bacteria
Description: partial 16S ribosomal RNA
Rfam family: Bacterial small subunit ribosomal RNA
Source: RNAcentral